GCUGAAUCUCAUUGGCUGGAACCUGAAUUGCUAGGGUGCUGGCCCACGUGGGAGGAAAUGCAGGAAAAAAAAAAUAACAGCACAGCUUCUAGAAAACAGUCACUUUCAAACGACGGAUUUCGUGGUUAAUUGAGUUUCCCACAAUGCCCAUCUGUGCCAACGUGCCCUUUCCCAUACCGUCAGAGUUUCAGCAAGAGGAGAGGUCAAGUUGGCAGAGGAGAGGCCGGGACUAUGGCGAAGUCUGGCACACUUCCUGGAGAGGGCAAAGUCUAACUGCUACCAUGAACAGUUGGCGUUGUUGUCAGGACUCACCACGAUUCACAGUCAAACUAGAGAGUCCGAAUCAGUGAAACAGGAGCCAGCACCAAAAACAAGGUUAUGGCGAUAGUGACUCCAGAUGGUAUCUACAGUGGGAAGAAAAAGUAUGUGGACCCUUUGGAAUUUCAUGGAUCUCUGCAUAAAUUGAUCACAACAUUUUAUCUGAUCUUCAUCUAAGUCACAACAAUAUACAAACAGAGUCUACUUAAACUAAUAAAACAAUAUGUUUUCAUGUCAUUAUUGAACACAGUGUAAACACUCACAGUGCAGGGUGGAAAAAGUAUGUGAAUCCUUGGAUUUAAUAACAGGUUGACCCU
Molecule: non-coding RNA, 635 nt
Organism: Salmo salar (Atlantic salmon)
Lineage: Eukaryota; Metazoa; Chordata; Actinopteri; Salmoniformes; Salmonidae
Source: RefSeq, a predicted model, not a curated record